Molecule: long non-coding RNA, 1117 nt
Filed under: Triticum aestivum (bread wheat)
Lineage: Eukaryota; Viridiplantae; Streptophyta; Magnoliopsida; Poales; Poaceae
Description: long non-coding RNA (TAES_LNC004637)
Source: RNAcentral
AAGGAUGUAUAUAUCACUGAAGAAAAUGGUGUGUGUAUGACUAUGAGCAAUACCAAACUUCCACAAUUCACACUGUAUCACAAACAUAUAUACUAAUCAAAUUUGACUUUUUUCAUCUACGCUUGAAAUAGUAUUAGUAACUGUUAUCGCAUUUUUUUAAGUUCUGUACGUACAUACAGAGUAGUAGGUACUCACCCAGAGUUCCCCAACCCACAUUUGACAUUCCCAAAUCGCUCUUGAUCUCGUCGGCCGUCGCCGUCGGGUCCGUCCGGCUUGCAAGCACCACCACGCCGUCAGACUCACAGUCACGCUCCUCUACCCAUCUGGCCUGAGCGCAUAGCAUCUGCUGGCCUGAGCGCAUAGCAUCUGCUGGCCAGAGCCAGACCAUGCUGUUGCAGGUGGCCUCUAUGCUGGAGGCGGCCACCACAGCAUCUCGGGGCUAGGCGAGGAGUAGUGACAGCGGCUGCUAUUGUAUCUCUGCCCCGACUCCAAAUUGAUACCCCACUCGUCGUCCUUCCAUGUGUUGAGCUGGGCGACAUAGACGCCGCCGUCCGGGUCGACCGUCUCAUCCAGUCCUCGCUGACGGCCCGCUUGGAUCCCGCGCCACCAUGCCCAGGGUUGAGGCAGAGGUCAGGAGGAAGCGCCGAUGGCAGCAUGUGGAGGGUGGAGGGUUCGAUGGUCGCCCCGAAGGAGGAGGACCCGAAUAUGGGGUAGGGCACCGGCGGCGGUAGGUCGAGCCGCGAUGGGUCGACUGGACCGAGGAGGAGUGUAUGGCUUGUACCGACGGAAAUAGGAAAACGAAAUUCUGGUGGCACUUUUUUCACCUCUUCCUUCUAUUUAGCAGCAUAAGAUGGCAUGGAUCUAUUUCCUCCGUGGUGGAGUAUGGUCAGUCAAUGUAAAUUACUAAGUGCACACAGUGAAUGGAUUGGGUUAAUUCUAUCUGUUAGAUUGAGAUUUGUGGGCCUAAUCGUAUGUUGCUGAUUGGGUGCGCGGUGUCGUGGGGCUAAUUACGGGGUGCACGUAAGAAAGUUCUUGUUUGAUUGUUUAAUAGUAGUGGAGAUGUUAUACAUUAUUUCCAGGAUCCAAAAAUGAGUGCCAACGUUUUGGCGAAACGUUG